This 743-nucleotide small RNA is filed under the name Arabidopsis thaliana (thale cress). Its description in RNAcentral is "ATSL196790". The record is from RNAcentral. Lineage: Eukaryota; Viridiplantae; Streptophyta; Magnoliopsida; Brassicales; Brassicaceae.
UAAUUUACCAGGAGUAAAGUUCAAGCUUUUUUCACCACUUUUUGUAAAGUGAUGAUUUUUAUGACAUUUUUCCCGUUUUAAAUUCCCUUUUACAAGAUUUACAAGGGAUUUUAAAAUGAUUUAAAAAGAUUUAUAAGGGAUUUUAAAAGGGAAAAAAAAAUUUUGGCGAAAAAUUGUUUUUUCGAAAAUUUUUGGCAGGAAAUUUAUUUUGGAAUAUUUUAGGCGAAAAAUAUUAUUUCAUUUUGUUAACCUAAAACAAUUUCAAAAUAGGAGUAAAAUGGUCAUUAAAAAUUUAAAGAGGGUAGUAAUGAAAAUAGAUUAAAAAAUGGUAGAAUUGAAAAAGGGCAUCAUGAAAAGGGCAUUAGAAAGAAGUUUUUUAAAAAAAGGAAAACAAAGAACAAAAUAAAACAAGGCCUUGAGAACUUUUUUAAAAAAUAAAGUCAAGAAAGCAUGAUUGUUAAAAUAAAAACUGUGAGGACUUUUAAAGCCACGGAAGCCUCUUCCCAAUCACCCGCGUAAAAAUGAAAAAACUGGACAGUUAGACUUUCAAAACUUUAAAAAAACGUAAAGUCUUGAAAUUGUGAUUGGUAAAUAUUCGACUUUUAAGACUUUAAAAAAAAUCUAAAGCCCUUAAAGUGUCUUCCAAUCACCCCCAAAGUGUCUACAGAUUUAUUUUUGUCAAUCAUGCUUUUUUUACUUUAUUUAUUUUGAAAGUUCUCAAAGCCUUAUUUUUAUUUUUUAUU